Molecule: long non-coding RNA, 270 nt
Organism: Lytechinus pictus (painted urchin)
Lineage: Eukaryota; Metazoa; Echinodermata; Echinoidea; Temnopleuroida; Toxopneustidae
Exons: 3
Source: RefSeq, a predicted model, not a curated record
UAAUCUACAGAUGCAAUGGGUUAUGUCUUCUCCAAGAUCUGGAGUCUUUUCAACAAUGAAGAACACAAGGUGAUCAUUGUAGGCCUGGAUAAUGCAGGCAAAACGACCAUUCUAUAUCAAAUUCUUAUGAACGAGGUUGUGCAUACGUCCCCCACCAUCGGUAGCAAUGUAGAAGAAGUCACAUGGAAAAACAUACACUUCUUAAUGUGGGACAUAGGAGGACAGGACUCACUGCGGACGGCAUGGAGCACGUAUUAUGCAGGCACUCAG